This 535-nucleotide ribosomal RNA is filed under the name uncultured bacterium. RNAcentral describes it as "bacterial SSU rRNA". It matches the Rfam family "Bacterial small subunit ribosomal RNA", at positions 17 to 518 of the family's 1533-position model. The record is from RNAcentral.
AUCUGGUUCAGGACGAACGCUGGCGGCGUGCCUAAUACAUAGCAAGUCGAACGGUCUUUUCUAAUGGAAGCUUGCUUCCACUGAAAAGAUAGUGGCGAACGGGUGAGUAACACGUGGGUAACCUGCCCAGUAAGAGGGGGAGUAACAUCCGGAAACGGGUGCUAAUACCGCAUAGUUUUCUUGAUCGCAUGAUCGGGAAAGGAAAGACGGCCUUUGUGCUGUCGCUUAUGGAUGGACCCGCGGCGUAUUAGUUAGUUGGUGAGGUAACGGCUCACCAAGACGAUGAUACGUAGCCGACCUGAGAGGGUGAUCGGCCACAUUGGGACUGAGACACGGCCCAAACUCCUACGGGAGGCAGCAGUAGGGAAUCUUCCGCAAUGGACGAAAGUCUGACGGAGCAACGCCGCGUGAGUGAAGAAGGUUUUUUCCGGAUCGUAAAACUCUGUUGUCAGAGAAGAACAAGUUGGAGAGUAACUGCUCCAGCCUUGACGGUAUCUGACCAGAAAGCCACGGCUAACUACGUGCCAGCAGCAGC